UGCAUUAAUUUAACAAGCUACUAAAGUACUAGCCGGGCAUUUGAGCAUUUUUUGUCCAUCCUAGCUCAGGGACUUAAAUGCUUGAUCAGUUGAUCACAUGGGAGGGGUCACAAAACAGGGGUCAUGGCGAUAUGCCUAAAAAUAUACACAACAGCCCGGUCAGCACGGUAGCGGCAGCGCACCAAUGCACCCCCCCCCCAGGGAAAUCUGCACCCCUCCUGUCAGAUCAGCAUUGAUCCACCC
Molecule: non-coding RNA, 243 nt
Organism: Paramuricea clavata
Lineage: Eukaryota; Metazoa; Cnidaria; Anthozoa; Malacalcyonacea; Plexauridae
Source: the annotation of a GenBank genome assembly